UACGGGGGGAGCAAGCGUUGUUCGGAUUUACUGGGCGUAAAGGGCGCGUAGGCGGUCGUGACAAGUCACUUGUGAAAUCUCCGGGCUUAACUCGGAAAGGUCAAGUGAUACUGUCAGACUAGAGUGCAGAAGGGGCAACUGGAAUUCUCGGUGUAGCGGUGAAAUGCGUAGAUAUCGAGAGGAACACCUGCGGCGAAGGCGGGUUGCUGGGCUGACACUGACGCUGAGGCGCGAAAGCUAGGGGAGCGAACGGG
RNAcentral lists this ribosomal RNA (254 nucleotides) under uncultured bacterium. RNAcentral describes it as "partial 16S ribosomal RNA". It matches the Rfam family "Bacterial small subunit ribosomal RNA", at positions 524 to 776 of the family's 1533-position model. The record is from RNAcentral.